UACGGGGGGCNGCAGUGGGGAAUAUUGCACAAUGGGCGCAAGCCUGAUGCAGCCAUGCCGCGUGUAUGAAGAAGGCCCUAGGGUUGUAAAGUACUUUCAGUCGGGAGGAAGGCGUUGAUGCUAAUAUCAUCAACGAUUGACGUUACCGACAGAAGAAGCACCGGCUAACUCCGUGCCAGCAGCCGCGGUAAUACGGAGGGUGCAAGCGUUAAUCGGAAUUACUGGGCGUAAAGCGCACGCAGGCGGUUGAUUAAGUUAGAUGUGAAAUCCCCGGGCUUAACCUGGGAAUGGCAUCUAAGACUGGUCAGCUAGAGUCUUGUAGAGGGGGGUAGAAUUCCAUGUGUAGCGGUGAAAUGCGUAGAGAUGUGGAGGAAUACCGGUGGCGAAGGCGGCCCCCUGGACAAA
Molecule: ribosomal RNA, 405 nt
Filed under: Providencia rettgeri
Lineage: Bacteria; Pseudomonadati; Pseudomonadota; Gammaproteobacteria; Enterobacterales; Morganellaceae
Also listed under: 1 other name
Description: bacterial SSU rRNA
Rfam family: Bacterial small subunit ribosomal RNA
Source: RNAcentral